AACGCACCUUGCGCUCCUCGGUGUUCCGAGGAGCAUGCCUGUUUGAGCGUCAGUAAAUUCUCAACCCCUCUCGAUUUUCUUCGAAAGGGUGCUUGGAUAGUGGGGGCUGCCGGGGAUCUGGACUCUCGUCUAGGACUCGGGCUCUCCUGAAAUGAAUGGGCUUGUGGUCGACUUUCGACUAUGCAUGACAAGGCUUUUGGCGUGAUAAUGAUCGCCGCUCGCCGAAGUGCAUGAAUGAAUGGUCCCGUGCCUCUAAUGCGUCGAUGCCUUCUGGCGUCUUCCUUAUUGACUUUUGACCUCAAAUCAGGUAGGACUACCCGCUGAACUUAA
RNAcentral lists this unclassified non-coding RNA (330 nucleotides) under Hygrocybe sp. RNAcentral's name for it is "partial contains 5.8S ribosomal RNA, internal transcribed spacer 2, and large subunit ribosomal RNA". The stretch from base 1 to 52 matches the Rfam family "5.8S ribosomal RNA", at positions 103 to 154 of the family's 154-position model. The record is from RNAcentral. Lineage: Eukaryota; Fungi; Basidiomycota; Agaricomycetes; Agaricales; Hygrophoraceae.